This 447-nucleotide ribosomal RNA is filed under the name uncultured bacterium. Its description in RNAcentral is "partial 16S ribosomal RNA". It matches the Rfam family "Bacterial small subunit ribosomal RNA", at positions 29 to 523 of the family's 1533-position model. The record is from RNAcentral.
AACGAACGCUGGCGGCAGGCUUAACACAUGCAAGUCGAACGCCCCGCAAGGGGAGUGGCAGACGGGUGAGUAACGCGUGGGAACAUACCCUUUCCUGCGGAAUAGCUCCGGGAAACUGGAAUUAAUACCGCAUACGCCCUACGGGGGAAAGAUUUAUCGGGGAAGGAUUGGCCCGCGUUGGAUUAGCUAGUUGGUGGGGUAAUGGCCUACCAAGGCGACGAUCCAUAGCUGGUCUGAGAGGAUGAUCAGCCACAUUGGGACUGGGACACGGCCCAAACUCCUACGGGAGGCAGCAGUGGGGAAUAUUGGACAAUGGGCGCAAGCCUGAUCCAGCCAUGCCGCGUGAGUGAUGAAGGCCUUAGGGUUGUAAAGCUCUUUCACCGAUGAAGAUAAUGACGGUAGUCGGAGAAGAAGCCCCGGCUAACUUCGUGCCAGCAGCCGCCGUAA